RNAcentral lists this RNase P RNA (328 nucleotides) under Sulfurimonas sp. SAG-AH-194-I05. Its description in RNAcentral is "RNase P RNA component class A". It matches the Rfam family "Bacterial RNase P class A". From Rfam's summary of the family: Ribonuclease P (RNase P) is a ubiquitous endoribonuclease, found in archaea, bacteria and eukarya as well as chloroplasts and mitochondria. Its best characterised activity is the generation of mature 5'-ends of tRNAs by cleaving the 5'-leader elements of precursor-tRNAs. The record is from RNAcentral. Lineage: Bacteria; Pseudomonadati; Campylobacterota; Epsilonproteobacteria; Campylobacterales; Sulfurimonadaceae.
UAGGUAUAACGGAUAGUAACUUGAUACAAAUCAAGAGGAAAGUCCGAGCUGCUGUAAGACAGUGUUCCAUUUAACGAAUGGCCGUAGUAAUGCGAGGGAAAGUGCAACAGAGAUUAGACUUCUAUCAGUAAUGAUAGUAAAGGUGAAAAGGUGGAGUAAGAGCCCACCAGUCUUUAUAGUAAUAUAGAGAGCUUGUAAACCCAACAUGGCAGCAAGAAACAGAUGGUCAGCGUCUUACAAUGCUACUGUUUCGCUAGAGGUAUGACGUGAGUCAUACAGUAGAUUAAUUACUAUCACUACAAAACUCGGCUUACGUUAUGCCUAUUCU